RNAcentral lists this ribosomal RNA (253 nucleotides) under uncultured bacterium. RNAcentral's name for it is "partial 16S ribosomal RNA". It matches the Rfam family "Bacterial small subunit ribosomal RNA", at positions 524 to 776 of the family's 1533-position model. The record is from RNAcentral.
UACGUAGGGAGCGAGCGUUAAUCGGAAUUACUGGGCGUAAAGCGUGCGCAGGCGGCUUUGCAAGACAGAUGUGAAAUCCCCGGGCUCAACCUGGGAACUGCAUUUGUGACUGCAAGGCUAGAGUACGGCAGAGGGGGAUGGAAUUCCGCGUGUAGCAGUGAAAUGCGUAGAUAUGCGGAGGAACACCAAUGGCGAAGGCAAUCCCCUGGGCCUGUACUGACGCUCAUGCACGAAAGCGUGGGGAGCAAACAGG